GGAAGAGAAGAAAGUUGAAUUCGUAAGUGGGUUUUUGUUGCUGUUAACUUUCAAGUGAGAAAAUUUUCAUUUGUUUUCUUGCUUGCUUGUAUUUCAGUUUGCUUGCUGUUAGGGUUCGGUGAUUUUUUUUAAAGGUUUGACAGAUUUUAUCUCUGGGUUUUAGUAUGAUUCAAUGCAUUUUGUCGAUUUAAGUUGGCGUUGAAGCUUGAAUUAUGGGAAAUUGAGAUCGAAAUCAUUUUGAUGGGUGUUUUCAAAUGGGUUGGGUGCCGUAUGUAAAUGAUGCUUUGGAUUUCAAAGAGGGAGUUGAAAAAUGGCUGAUGAAUUUGAAAUUUUGAACAUCGAAUGCUUUAAUCUUCCUUGGGUUUUGCUCGAAUUUGUUAUAUGUUUAAUUCUAUUAUUAUUAUUAUUAUUA
RNAcentral lists this unclassified non-coding RNA (412 nucleotides) under Hevea brasiliensis (rubber tree). The record is from RNAcentral. Lineage: Eukaryota; Viridiplantae; Streptophyta; Magnoliopsida; Malpighiales; Euphorbiaceae.